Long non-coding RNA from Aegilops tauschii subsp. strangulata, 3135 nucleotides. RefSeq lists it as uncharacterized. The record is from RefSeq and is a predicted model, not a curated record. NCBI's taxonomy places the organism in Eukaryota, Viridiplantae, Streptophyta, Magnoliopsida, Poales, Poaceae.
GCCUGGUUUUUUUUGCAUCGGGCUUUGGUAGGCCCGGCCCGACAGAUGGCCAGGUAUAGACACGAUGUGUUCUUCGAUUUUCUCUUACCCUGUGUGUCCGAGGAUUUUUGCAAGCGUAAAAAAGGAAAUCAAUUGGAUACCAUGGCCUUGUCAAAAUAUAGGACACUGAUAACGCCCACACGUGCGGCAUACUAGACAUCCGCCCACACACCUUGUGUGGCGUAAGUAGGAGACAGCCCACACGGGUCAUGUGUGGGUGAACAUUAAAACUGCCCACCCGUGUGGGUGGAGCUACUUCGUGUCACACGCCCAACAAAUACUGCUCAUCCCACCCCGUGCGUGUGGCAGGAAGCAAAACUGCCCACACGUCGCGGUGCAGCUACGUUAGUUACCUGUGGGAUGACGCUUUAGUUGCCAUCCGGGAUGGCAAAUGUAGUUGUAAAAGCAUGACAACUCUCUUUGUUUUGGUUAACUAUGUUUGCCAUGUCUAAUUUAUGGUAGUUGCCGCGUGCAAUCAAACCAUAGUUGCCAUGUGUGCUUACCUAAUUGCCAUGUAUGGUUAAUUAUAGUUGUCAUGUGUGUUUACCUGGUUGCCAGGUACGCGUAACUGCAGUUGCCAUCUACCAACGAAUCAUAGUUGCCAUGCGUAUUUACCUAGUUGCCGCAUACGUGCAACUGCAGUUGCCAUCUAUCACCGUACGAGCGUCGUGUGGGCGAAGAGCAGUUCACGCACACGCGCGAGGGCUGGCUGGUGACUGCGUGGGCGGGAACUGGUUCACCCAUACGGCGCAGCUGGCAACCACGCGCUGCGGGUCGUGUGGGCGAGCGCUCUAGCGCCCACACAACACGCUAUGCCUACGUGGCACUCAGAUUCCUUUAGGAUUCAUGCAAAACAGAAUUAAGGUGGAUCAAGGCGUGUGGGCGUUAGUAUUCUAGCAAGUAUUCUUAUGCACACCAAUCUAUUUACCACACUAAAUAUACUGACAAAUACACAAUGGCUGGAUUGUAUACUAACUAGUUGUUCCAUAGAUUGCAUACUAAGAGCGUCUCUAGCCUAUCCCCAAAAGUUAAACAUGGGGCAAAAAAUAUUGAUUUCACGAAUUAAGAGCAUCUCUAGCAGAUUCCUUAUCCUAAAAGUCCAAAAUCCCACCAUAUCUCAUUUCCCCUAAUUUUAUAAGGGGUUAAACGUUCCCCACCUACAGAUUCCCUAAAACUUAAUCCCUAAGAUUUUUAUUUGACCAAUACUUUCAAACGUUUGCUCAAACAAUUGUCACAAAUUCAUCACAUUUCAAAACAAACAUAGACAAUUCAAAUGCACCAUAUCAUAAACCAAGUACGAGCAUAAAUGAAGUUCAUCGGAUCCAUCGAACAACUAAACAUAACCAUAAUUUAUACCAAAAGUUCGUUCUAUUGAUUCUUCUUGGCAUGCUUUGCAAUUUUUGACCCAUUCAGACGCACAUGAGUGGAUGGGUUCUCUGCCAAGUCAUCAUCAUCAACAUUGGUGUUGAGCCUUUGCCUCUUUGGUAUGGCUUCAGAGUUUUUUCUUGUCAACUUCUCAUGUCCAUCAAGCUCUGUGUAGCAAUGAUGCAAAGUAAAUACUUUGGAGCCGUUUUCUCUUGUUCCUUUCCUUGUAAAGAGCUUGAAUGACUUAUUUUUUAUAUUUAUCUAUGCUUGAUAACUCUCUUGUUUUAUGCAGUUUGCUUCUCUGUAGUUGGUGGUUCAUCUUUGGAAGUGCAGCAUUCCGUUGUUAUUUCAUAACGUGGAGUUGAAAAUGGUGUAGGUAUAUAUGCUAACGACAAAAUAUUCAAUAACCACAUAAUUUCUUUGAUGGACCUCUUUUUGUCAUGUCUCACGCGGUAUAGAAUAACUAGCUAAUAUAUUAGUAUAUGCAUGCAAUGUUAACCUUGCCUUGUGUUAUGACUGCCACGGUUUUCAUAAUAUAAUUCUACAUAUACGGUACACCCUUUGUCCCAAAUAAGUGUCUCUAAUUUUAAUGCAAAGUUACUAUAAAGUUGUACUCCCUCCGUUUCUUGUUAGUCCGCAUAUAAGGUUUGGUCAAAGUCAAGCUUUGUAGAGUUUGACUAAUUUUAUAUUAAAAAAUAUAAAAUUCACGAUAUGAAAUCAAUAUUAUCAGAUGCACCAUGAAACGUAUUUUCAUGCUAUAUAGUUUUAGUAUUAUAGAUGUUCAGAUUUUUUUAUAUAAAUUUGGUCAAACUUUGUGUAGUUUGACUUUGACCAAAUCUUAUAUGCGGAGUAAAAAGAAACGGAGGGAGUACUAAUCAGCUACACUUAUUUGCGGUGGAGGGAGUAGUUUACAACAUUCCAGAGUAAUAUUCGAAUCACGAGUUUCUUCUUGUACAAACUGAAGUUUCAUAUGCAUGAUAUAUUAUAAAUUUAAUUUUUCUCCUAGCUGUACCUGUUGGAUCUCUUGUAUUAUGUCUUAAGAUCUUCUUUUUAUUGGUGAACAAAUAUAUUAUUUUCUAUACAAUUAAUGGCUAGCGAUUUGCGGGGAUGCAUAUGGAGGAUUCAUGGUGAUGUUAUAUUAAAUGUGCCGAAACAUACUUUGGUGGUAGAUGCUGUGUGAAUCAAGAUGAUUCAGAAAUAUUACAAUAAGAGGUUAAUUAGAUGGCCAUAUAUAUCCAGAAGUGUUAUAUUUUUUUCUACCGUAAUGCUGAACGCCCCCACCCUCCCAGGUUAUUUACCGUUGUACGCACUGGCUUCGUAUGCGGUCUACGCUAGCGAACGAAGUAUCAAUCGUUGUUUAAGACGGUGUGUAUGCGGUUGGAGCGGGUGGCCAGGGAGGUUUUUACCCAACGGAGUAUCAAUACACUAUAGGUUUUUCUAAUAUCCAACUUCAUUCUUGUUUGCUCCAACACUUUGCCCAUAUAUAUAACCCCAUUCUAACAAAGCUUGUAUAGAAAAAUAUUGUUGUUCAGUAACUAACUGUCAUUCUUUGCAUAGUCAGAACAACAACACAUAAGUCAAAACAUCUCUAGCAGACCCCGUAAAGCACCACCUGUAAAAAACAGUAUAUAGCCCCCCCUAAGACAAAUUUAUAGUACCGCGAGGCAUCGAACGAAACAUAUCCUGUAAACCCAUAUUGUAAAUAUUUUUUCUUUUUCUCCUCACGCUUCU